CCUACGGGUGGCAGCAGUAGGGAAUCUUCCACAAUGGGCGCAAGCCUGAUGGAGCAACACCGCGUGAGUGAAGAAGGGUUUCGGCUCGUAAAGCUCUGUUGUUGGAGAAGAACGUGCGUGAGAGUAACUGUUCACGCAGUGACCGUAUCCAACCAGAAAGUCACGGUUAAAUACGUGCUAGCAGCCGCGGUAAUACAUAGGGGGCCAGCGUUAUCCGGGUUUAUUGGGCGUAAAGCGAGCGCAGGCGGUUGUUUAGGUCUGAUGGGAAAGCCUUCGGCUUAACCGAAGAAGUGCAUCGGAAACCGGCCAACUUGAGUUGAGAAGAGGACAGUGGAACUCGAUGUGUAGCGGUCGAAUGCGUAGAUAUAUGGAAGAACACCAGUGGCGAAGGCGGCUGUCUGGUCUGCAACUGACGCUGAGGCUCGAAAGCAUGGGUAGCGAACAGGAUUAGAUACCCCUGUAGUC
This 465-nucleotide ribosomal RNA is filed under the name uncultured bacterium. RNAcentral's name for it is "partial 16S ribosomal RNA". It matches the Rfam family "Bacterial small subunit ribosomal RNA", at positions 338 to 795 of the family's 1533-position model. The record is from RNAcentral.